RNAcentral lists this unclassified non-coding RNA (223 nucleotides) under plant metagenome. Its description in RNAcentral is "partial contains small subunit ribosomal RNA, internal transcribed spacer 1, and 5.8S ribosomal RNA". The record is from RNAcentral.
UUUCCGUAGGUGAACCUGCGGAAGGAUCAUUGAAGAGAAUAUGCCCUCCGGGGUAGAUCUCCCACCCUUUGUUUAUAUUACCUUUGUUGCUUUGGCAGGCCCGUCUUCGGACCAUCGGCUUCGGCUGGUCAGUGCUUGCCAGAGGACCCAAAACUCUUAUUAUUAGUGUCGUCUGAGUACUAUAUAAUAGUUAAAACUUUCAACAACGGAUCUCUUGGUUCUG